GUCAAGAUCAAAUCUGUCGUACGCCAGUGAGAAUAGGAUCAAGCACCGGGUUGGGAUCUCACAUCACAGAAAGUUGUAUCAACUGAGUCAGCCAACGAUUAAGCCCAUGAACUUGGGAUCCCAUUCCUGGAAACAAGUGCGAAGAAUGCUACCAAUGUCGGAGAAGCUUUCAUGGCCAUGACUACUGCAAUCAAGACAAGAAUAGCGAGCCAACCUGCAGGAAGAUCCAAGCCACCUACCGUCCAGAUCCGAGAACAAAAUGUAAACCAACAAUCAGGCUGCUCUCUUCUUAAUUCGUUUUGGUAACAGUUAACCAUAUAUCAUCUCAUAGUUUGCAUGUAAUACAUGAACAACGUCGUCGCUUUGUUCAGUCACUUA
This is a long non-coding RNA of Raphanus sativus (radish), 378 nucleotides long. RefSeq lists it as uncharacterized. NCBI's taxonomy places the organism in Eukaryota, Viridiplantae, Streptophyta, Magnoliopsida, Brassicales, Brassicaceae. The record is from RefSeq and is a predicted model, not a curated record. The transcript has 3 exons.